GUCUAGGGCCAUAAAUACCCUGAAUGUGCCCAAUCUUGUCUGAUCUCAGAAGUUAAGCAGGGUUGGACCUUGUGAAUAUUUGGAUGGGGGACCACCUGGGAAUACUGGGUACUAGAGGCA
Molecule: ribosomal RNA, 120 nt
Filed under: Carlito syrichta (Philippine tarsier)
Lineage: Eukaryota; Metazoa; Chordata; Mammalia; Primates; Tarsiidae
Source: RNAcentral